Molecule: ribosomal RNA, 330 nt
Filed under: uncultured Anaplasma sp.
Lineage: Bacteria; Pseudomonadati; Pseudomonadota; Alphaproteobacteria; Rickettsiales; Anaplasmataceae
Description: bacterial SSU rRNA
Rfam family: Bacterial small subunit ribosomal RNA
Source: RNAcentral
ACAGAAGAAGUCCCGGCAAACUCCGUGCCAGCAGCCGCGGUAAUACGGAGGGGGCAAGCGUUGUUCGGAAUUAUUGGGCGUAAAGGGCAUGUAGGCGGUUUGGUAAGUUAAAGGUGAAAUACCAGGGCUUAACCCUGGGGCUGCUUUUAAUACUGCAGGACUAGAGUCCGGAAGAGGAUAGCGGAAUUCCUAGUGUAGAGGUGAAAUUCGUAGAUAUUAGGAGGAACACCAGUGGCGAAGGCGGCUGUCUGGUCCGGUACUGACGCUGAGGUGCGAAAGCGUGGGGAGCAAACAUGAUUAGAUACCCUGGUAGUCCACGCUGUAAACGAU